RNAcentral lists this ribosomal RNA (253 nucleotides) under uncultured bacterium. RNAcentral's name for it is "partial 16S ribosomal RNA". It matches the Rfam family "Bacterial small subunit ribosomal RNA", at positions 524 to 776 of the family's 1533-position model. The record is from RNAcentral.
UACGUAGGCAGCGAGCGUUGUUCGGAGUUACUGGGCGUAAAGAGUGCGUAGGCGGUUUUCUAAGGUUGGUGUGAAAUCUCCCGGCUUAACUGGGAGGGUGCGCCGAAGACUGGAAGGCUUGAGUAUGGGAGAGGUAAGCGGAAUUCCUGGUGUAGCGGUGAAAUGCGUAGAUAUCAGGAGGAACACCUGCGGUGUAGACGGCUUACUGGACCAUAACUGACGCUGAGGCACGAAAGCGUGGGUAGCAAACCGG